RNAcentral lists this long non-coding RNA (398 nucleotides) under Ananas comosus (pineapple). RNAcentral describes it as "long non-coding RNA (ACOM_LNC038477)". Lineage: Eukaryota; Viridiplantae; Streptophyta; Magnoliopsida; Poales; Bromeliaceae. The record is from RNAcentral.
CGAGAGAGUGGAAUUUCAAAAUCUGGCUAAGUCCCAGAUUUUGUGCUCUCGGGGACCGGUCCCUGAAGGAGAGACCGGUCCCCGUACGCGUAGCCUGUCAGGAAUCCUGAGGCAACCGGUCCCUGACAGUGAGACCGGUCCUCGGGAGACCGGUCCCUGAGGGAAAGACCGGUCCCCCGUCGCGCAGUAGCCGAAAAAGCCCGAAAAUCGGCUAAGUCAUGGAAAACCCACGUUCGGGAACCGGUCCCUGGUCGGGGAGACCGGUCCCCGACUGCGAAAAUUGCCCAGUCUGAGCAGUGCACUAUGAAACAAGUGGAGGGGCUUAAGUGCAAUUGUCACAACAUGUUAUAUGGUUAUCCCCUUCACUCCCAAAGCCAUUUCUCUCCCCUCUCUCAUUU